RNAcentral lists this ribosomal RNA (1235 nucleotides) under metagenome. RNAcentral's name for it is "bacterial LSU rRNA". It matches the Rfam family "Bacterial large subunit ribosomal RNA", at positions 1564 to 2808 of the family's 2925-position model. The record is from RNAcentral.
UGAUGACGUGACGCUAAGGCGUUGAAGCAGUGUAUGUCAUACUUCCCAGAAAAGCCCGAACCACGUUAAUUUCUAACCUGCCUGUACCAUAACCGACACAGGUGGGUAGGUAGAGUAUACUAAGGGGCGCGAGAUAACUCUCUCUAAGGAACUCGGCAAAAUGACUCCGUAACUUCGGGAGAAGGAGUGCCUUAUUUAUAAGGUUGCAAUAACAAGAUCCAAGCAACUGUUUAUCAAAAACACAGGUCUCCGCUAAGUCGUAAGACGAUGUAUGGGGGCUGACGCCUGCCCAGUGCCAGAAGGUUAAAGAAGUUGGUUAGUGUAUGCGAAGCUGAUGACUGAAGCCCUGGUGAACGGCGGCCGUAACAAUAACGGUCCUGAGGUAGCGAAAUUCCUUGUCGGGUAAGUUCCGACCCGCACGAAAGGCGUAAUGAUUUGGAUACUGUCUCGGAGAGAGGCUCGGUGAAAUAGACUUGUCUGUGAAGAUGCGGACUACCUGCACCAGGACAGAAAGACCCUAUGGAGCCUUACUGUAACUUGAAAUUGGAAUUGGACUUUGCUUGCGCAGUAUAGGUGGGAAGCGUUGAAAAUAUUCUUGCGGGAGUAUUGGAGCUAUCAGUGAGAUACCACUCUUGUAAUGUUAGAUUUCUAACUUUGAACCAUAAUCUGGUCAAAGAACAGUUUCAGGUGGGCAGUUUGACUGGGGCGGUCGCCUCCCAAAUGGUAACGGAGGCGUACAAAGGUUUCCUCUGAACGGAUAGAAAUCGUAUCUAGAGUGUAAAGGCAUAAGGAAGCUUGACUGUGAGACCUACAAGUCGAGCAGGGACGAAAGUCGGUCUUAGUGAUCUGACGGUACUGAGUGGAAAGGCCGUCACUCAACGGAUAAAAGUUACUCUAGGAUAACAGGCUGAUCUCCCCCAAGAGUUCACAUCGGCGGGGAGGUUUGGCACCUCGAUGUCGGCUCAUCGCAUCCUGGGGCGGUAGUACGUCCCAAGGGUUGGGCUGUUCGCCCAUGAAAGCGGUACGCGAGCUGGGUUCAGAACGUCGUGAGACAGUUCGGUCCAUAUCCGGUGUAGGCGCUAGAAUAUUGAGAGGAGCCUUCUUUAGUACGAGAGGACCGAGAAGGACACACCGCUGGUGUACCAGUUAUCGUGCCAACGGUAAACGCUGGGUAGCUAUGUGUGGAGUGGAUAACCGCUGAAAGCAUCUAAGUGGGAAGCCCACCUCGAGAUGAG